UGGGGAAUAUUGCACAAUGGGGGAAACCCUGAUGCAGCGACGCCGCGUGGAGGAAGAAGGUCUUCGGAUUGUAAACUCCUGUUGUUGGGGAAAAAGAGGAUGGUACCCAACAAGGAAGUGACGGCUAACUACGUGCCAGCAGCCGCGGUAAAACGUAGGUCACAAGCGUUGUCCGGAAUUACUGGGUGUAAAGGGAGCGCAGGCGGGUAUGCAAGUUGGGAGUGAAAUACAUGGGCUCAACCCAUGAACUGCUCUCAAAACUGUGUAUCUUGAGUAGUGCAGAGGUAGGCGGAAUUCCCGGUGUAGCGGUGGAAUGCGUAGAUAUCGGGAGGAACACCAGUGGCGAAGGCGGCCUGCUGGGCACCAACUGACGCUGAGGCUCGAAAGUGUGGGUAGCAAACA
Molecule: ribosomal RNA, 402 nt
Filed under: uncultured bacterium
Lineage: Bacteria
Description: bacterial SSU rRNA
Rfam family: Bacterial small subunit ribosomal RNA
Source: RNAcentral